Molecule: ribosomal RNA, 253 nt
Filed under: uncultured bacterium
Lineage: Bacteria
Description: partial 16S ribosomal RNA
Rfam family: Bacterial small subunit ribosomal RNA
Source: RNAcentral
GACAGAGGGUGCAAACGUUGUUCGGAUUUACUGGGCGUAAAGCGCACGUAGGCGGCUUUGUAAGUUAGAGGUGAAAGCCCAGGGCUCAACCCUGGAAUUGCCUUUAAGACUGCAUCGCUUGAACAUCGGAGAGGUAAGUGGAAUUCCGAGUGUAGAGGUGAAAUUCGUAGAUAUUCGGAAGAACACCAGUGGCGAAGGCGACUUACUGGACGAUUGUUGACGCUGAGGUGCGAAAGCGUGGGGAGCAAACAGG